Molecule: ribosomal RNA, 301 nt
Filed under: uncultured bacterium
Lineage: Bacteria
Description: partial 16S ribosomal RNA
Rfam family: Bacterial small subunit ribosomal RNA
Source: RNAcentral
CAGUCGCCGCGGUAAAACGAAGGGGGCUAGCGUUGUUCGGAAUUACUGGGCGUAAAGCGCACGUAGGCGGACAUUUAAGUCAGGGGUGAAAUCCCGGGGCUCAACCCCGGAACUGCCUUUGAUACUGGGUGUCUAGAGUAUGGAAGAGGUGAGUGGAAUUCCGAGUGUAGAGGUGAAAUUCGUAGAUAUUCGGAGGAACACCAGUGGCGAAGGCGGCUCACUGGUCCAUUACUGACGCUGAGGUGCGAAAGCGUGGGGAGCAAACAGGAUUAGAUACCCGCGUAGUCCCUGUAUCUUAUAC